GGGAUACUAGCUCAGUCGGUAGAGCACUUGACUUUUAAUCAAGGUGUCGCGGGUUCGAAUCCCGCGUGUCUCACGA
RNAcentral lists this transfer RNA (76 nucleotides) under Clostridiales bacterium KLE1615. Its description in RNAcentral is "tRNA-Lys". It matches the Rfam family "tRNA". From Rfam's summary of the family: Transfer RNA (tRNA) molecules are approximately 80 nucleotides in length. Their secondary structure includes four short double-helical elements and three loops (D, anti-codon, and T loops). The record is from RNAcentral. RNAcentral also lists the same sequence under 2 other names. Lineage: Bacteria; Bacillati; Bacillota; Clostridia; Eubacteriales.